RNAcentral lists this ribosomal RNA (384 nucleotides) under uncultured bacterium. RNAcentral describes it as "bacterial SSU rRNA". It matches the Rfam family "Bacterial small subunit ribosomal RNA", at positions 9 to 412 of the family's 1533-position model. The record is from RNAcentral.
GAGUUUGAUCCUGGCUCAGGAUGAACGCUGGCGGCGUGCCUAAUACAUGCAAGUCGAGCGAACCACUUCGGUGGUGAGCGGCGAACGGGUGAGUAACACGUAGGUGAUCUGCCCAUCAGACGGGGACAACGAUUGGAAACGAUCGCUAAUACCGGAUAGGACGAAAGUUUAAAGGUGCUUCUGGCACCGCUGAUGGAUGAGCCUGCGGCGCAUUAGCUAGUUGGUAGGGUAAAGGCCUACCAAGGCGACGAUGCGUAGCCGACCUGAGAGGGUGAACGGCCACACUGGGACUGAGACACGGCCCAGACUCCUACGGGAGGCAGCAGUAGGGAAUCUUCGGCAAUGGGCGAAAGCCUGACCGAGCAACGCCGCGUGAAUGAUGAA